Molecule: ribosomal RNA, 434 nt
Filed under: Wolbachia endosymbiont of Drosophila bocqueti
Lineage: Bacteria; Pseudomonadati; Pseudomonadota; Alphaproteobacteria; Rickettsiales; Anaplasmataceae
Description: partial 23S ribosomal RNA
Rfam family: Bacterial large subunit ribosomal RNA
Source: RNAcentral
GGUCAAGCGAAUAAGCGCACACGGUGGAUGCCUUGGCGGUCAGAGGCGAUGAAGGACGUGGCAGCCUGCGAAAAGUAUCGGGGAGCUGGCAACAAGCUUUGAUCCGGUAAUGUCCGAAUGGGGAAACCCACCCGCUUGCGGGUAUCCUGCAGUGAAUACAUAGCUGCUGGAAGCGAACCUGGUGAACUGAAAUAUCUAAGUAACCAGAGGAAAAGAAAUCAACCGAGAUUCCGUAAGUAGCGACGAGCGAACGCGGACUAGCCCUUAAGCUGAUUUGGUUCUAGGAAAACACUCUGGAAAGAGUGGCCAUAGAAGGUGAUAGCCCUGUAUCUGAAAGGGCCAUUUCAGUGAAGACGAGUAGGGCGGGGCACGUGAAACCCUGUCUGAACAUGGGGGGACCAUCCUCCAAGGCUAAAUACUACUGACCGACCGAU